Molecule: ribosomal RNA, 378 nt
Filed under: uncultured eukaryote
Lineage: Eukaryota
Description: partial 18S ribosomal RNA
Rfam family: Eukaryotic small subunit ribosomal RNA
Source: RNAcentral
CAAUAGCGUAUAUUUAAGUUGUUGCAGUUAAAAAGCUCGUAGUUGGAUUUCGGGUUGGCUUCAGCGGUCUCGCUUUGCGUUUGUACUGCCGCAGCCUUCCUUCUUGCUGGGGACGGUCCUCCGGGCUUCAUUGCUUGGGGUCUGGAAUCAGCGACGUUACUUUGAGUAAAUUAGAGUGUUCAAAGCAAGCCUACGCUCUGAAUAUAAUAGCAUGGGAUAGCACGACAGGACUCUGGCCUAUCGUGUUGGUCUGUAGGACCAGAGUAAUGAUUAAGAGGGACAGUCGGGGGCAUUCGUAUUCCGUUGUCAGAGGUGAAAUUCUUGGAUUUACGGAAGACGAACAUCUGCGAAAGCAUUUGCCAAGGAUGUUUUCAUUGA